AUAUAAAUAACGUUUGGCAGCCU
RNAcentral lists this non-coding RNA (23 nucleotides) under Arabidopsis thaliana (thale cress). Lineage: Eukaryota; Viridiplantae; Streptophyta; Magnoliopsida; Brassicales; Brassicaceae. The record is from RNAcentral.